UACGAAGGGGGCUAGCGUUGUUCGGAAUUACUGGGCGUAAAGCGCGUGUAGGCGGGUCCUUAAGUCAGGGGGGAAAUGCCAAGGCUCAACCUUGGAACUGCCUUUGAUACUGGAGACCUUGAGUCCGGGAGAGGUGAGUGGAAUUGCGAGUGUAGAGGUGAAAUUCGUAGAUAUUCGCAAGAACACCAGUGGCGAAGGCGGCUCACUGGCCCGGAACUGACGCUGAGACGCGAAAGCGUGGGGAGCAAACAGG
RNAcentral lists this ribosomal RNA (253 nucleotides) under uncultured bacterium. RNAcentral describes it as "partial 16S ribosomal RNA". It matches the Rfam family "Bacterial small subunit ribosomal RNA", at positions 524 to 776 of the family's 1533-position model. The record is from RNAcentral.